Molecule: ribosomal RNA, 838 nt
Filed under: Fusarium stercicola
Lineage: Eukaryota; Fungi; Ascomycota; Sordariomycetes; Hypocreales; Nectriaceae
Description: partial large subunit ribosomal RNA
Rfam family: Eukaryotic large subunit ribosomal RNA
Source: RNAcentral
AACCAACAGGGAUUGCCCCAGUAACGGCGAGUGAAGCGGCAACAGCUCAAAUUUGAAAUCUGGCUCUCGGGCCCGAGUUGUAAUUUGUAGAGGAUGCUUUUGGUGAGGUGCCUUCCGAGUUCCCUGGAACGGGACGCCAUAGAGGGUGAGAGCCCCGUCUGGUUGGACACCGACCCUCUGUAAAGCUCCUUCGACGAGUCGAGUAGUUUGGGAAUGCUGCUCUAAAUGGGAGGUAUAUGUCUUCUAAAGCUAAAUACCGGCCAGAGACCGAUAGCGCACAAGUAGAGUGAUCGAAAGAUGAAAAGAACUUUGAAAAGAGAGUUAAAAAGUACGUGAAAUUGUUGAAAGGGAAGCGCUUGUGACCAGACUUGGGCUUGGUUGAUCAUCCGGGGUUCUCCCCGGUGCACUCUUCCGGCCCAGGCCAGCAUCAGUUCGCCCUGGGGGACAAAGGCUUCGGGAAUGUGGCUCUCUCCGGGGAGUGUUAUAGCCCGCUGCGUAAUACCCUGUGGCGGACUGAGGUUCGCGCAUUCGCAAGGAUGCUGGCGUAAUGGUCAUCAGUGACCCGUCUUGAAACACGGACCAAGGAGUCGUCUUCGUAUGCGAGUGUUCGGGUGUCAAACCCCUACGCGAAAUGAAAGUGAACGCAGGUGAGAGCUUCGGCGCAUCAUCGACCGAUCCUGAUGUUAUCGGAUGGAUUUGAGUAAGAGCAUACGGGGCCGGACCCGAAAGAAGGUGAACUAUGCCUGUGUAGGGUGAAGCCAGAGGAAACUCUGGUGGAGGCUCGCAGCGGUUCUGACGUGCAAAUCGAUCGUCAAACAUGGGCAUGGGGGCGAAAGAC